UCUGAAAUAUAACGGGUAAGCUCAGCUUCCCAAGCUGAUCGCGCGGGUUCGAUUCCCGCUACCCGCUCCA
Molecule: transfer RNA, 70 nt
Filed under: Neomesorhizobium albiziae
Lineage: Bacteria; Pseudomonadati; Pseudomonadota; Alphaproteobacteria; Hyphomicrobiales; Phyllobacteriaceae
Description: Mesorhizobium albiziae tRNA_Pseudo_CCC
Rfam family: tRNA (bases 12-67)
About the family: Transfer RNA (tRNA) molecules are approximately 80 nucleotides in length. Their secondary structure includes four short double-helical elements and three loops (D, anti-codon, and T loops).
Source: RNAcentral